Molecule: ribosomal RNA, 347 nt
Filed under: uncultured eukaryote
Lineage: Eukaryota
Description: SSU rRNA
Rfam family: Eukaryotic small subunit ribosomal RNA
Source: RNAcentral
CAAUAGCGUAUAUUAAAGUUGUUGCGGUUAAAAGCUCGUAGUUGGAUUUCUGUUGAAGACGGUCGGUCCGCUCUAUGAGCGUGUAUCUGAUUCGGCUUUGGCAUCCUCGUGGGGAACGUAACUGUGCUUGAUUGCAUGGUGCGGUAUUCACGACUUUUACUUUGAGGAAAUUAGAGUGUUCACAGCAGGCAAGCGCCUUGAAUACAUUAGCAUGGAAUAAUAAUAUAGGAUCUCGGUUCUAUUUUGUUUGGUUUCUUAGAAUCAGGAUAAUGAUUAAUAGGGAUAAUUGGGGGCGAUUUGUAUUAACGCGUCAGAGGUGGAAUUCUUGGAUUGCGUUACGACAAACU